AUUGAAUGGCUCAUUACAACAGCCUUAGUUUAUUGGAUCUUAGAGUCCUACUUGGAUAACUGUGGUAAUUCUAGAGCUAAUACACGCAAUUAAUCCUCAACCUUACGGGCGAGGAGCAUUUAUUAGAACAAAACCAAUCGGCUUCGGCCGUAUCUGGUGAAUCUGAAUAACUACGCUGAUCGCAUGGUCUCGUACCGGCGACAUAUCCUUCAAGUGUCUGCCUUAUCAACUGUCGAUGGUAGUUUACACGCCUACCAUGGUUGUAACGGGUAACGGAGAAUAAGGGUUCGACUCCGGAGAGGGAGCCUGAGAAACGGCUACCACAUCCAAGGAAGGCAGCAGGCGCGCAAAUUACCCACUCUCAGAACGAGGAGGUAGUGACGAAAAAUAACGAGACAGUUCUCUAUGAGGUCUGUCAUCGGAAUGGGUACAAUUUAAACCCUUUAACGAGGAUCUAUUGGAGGGCAAGUCUGGUGCCAGCAGCCGCGGUAAUUCCAGCUCCAAUAGCGUAUAUUAAAGUUGUUGCGGUUAAAAAGCUCGUAGUUGGAUCUGCGAUCGUAGACACUGGUUCCCUUCACGGGAUACUUGCUGUCUCGAUCUACCUUGUUAGACGUCCCUUAGUGCUCUUCACUGAGUGCUCUGGGUGUCUAGCUCGUUUACUUUGAAAAAAUUAGAGUGCUUAAUGCAGGCAUUUGCCUGAAUAGUGGUGCAUGGAGUAAUGGAAUAGGACCUCGGUUCUAUUUUGUUGGUUUUCGGAGCAUGAGGUAAUGAUUAAGAGGGACAGACGGGGGCAUUCGUACUGCUACGUUAGAGGUGAAAUUCUUGGAUCGUAGCAUGACGAACAACUGCGAAAGCAUUUGCCAAGAAUGUUUUCAUUAAUCAAGAACGAUAGUUAGAGGUUCGAAGGCCGAUCAGAUACCGCCC
RNAcentral lists this ribosomal RNA (924 nucleotides) under Nematoda environmental sample. RNAcentral's name for it is "SSU rRNA". It matches the Rfam family "Eukaryotic small subunit ribosomal RNA", at positions 88 to 1020 of the family's 1831-position model. Lineage: Eukaryota; Metazoa; Nematoda. The record is from RNAcentral.